GGGGGAGGAUAGGGUCCGGUGGCUCUACUGGUCUUCAAAACCAGAUGCGGGCGUCAACCGUCCGCGGUGGGUUCGACUCCCACCCUUUCCCGC
RNAcentral lists this transfer RNA (93 nucleotides) under Candidatus Poribacteria bacterium. Its description in RNAcentral is "tRNA-Sec". It matches the Rfam family "Selenocysteine transfer RNA". The record is from RNAcentral. Lineage: Bacteria; Candidatus Poribacteria.